GGUCACGAGUGUCGACGUCAAGCCCCAGCUGGUCGACCGGCAACCCUCCACCGCGGUGGGGUGCCCUGGGUGAGGACCGGGCCAGUGCGCAGCCGCGCGCCGGCAAGCGCGGA
This 113-nucleotide non-coding RNA is filed under the name zebrafish metagenome. RNAcentral describes it as "S-adenosyl methionine (SAM) riboswitch". It matches the Rfam family "SAM (S-adenosyl methionine) riboswitch aptamer". From Rfam's summary of the family: SAM-IV is a mRNA element that regulates gene expression via direct sensing of S-adenosylmethionine (SAM or AdoMet). SAM-IV riboswitches share conserved nucleotide positions with the previously described SAM-I riboswitches sequence analysis and molecular recognition experiments suggest that SAM-I and SAM-IV riboswitches share similar ligand binding sites, but have different scaffolds. The record is from RNAcentral.